AACAAAUACAAGUAUAUAUUAGAAAAUCAAAAGGUAUUGUUUUCUCGUGAGAUUGAAAGUGUUGUUGCUAUCUCUAGAAACUUAACUAAUGGCAACCAAAAACGCUUCACCUUUUAUAUUACUUUCAUUGAUGGUGUUUGCUUUGAUCCUUCUACCCAUAAUUUCAGGAACACAAUUCCAUAUGAAAAGAAAACAAUUUAUCAGAUUUUGUAAAGAUGGAUGUCCAAAUGAAAGAGACUGUGAUAAAUAUUGCAAAACUAGAGAUUGGUACGAAGGGGUUUGCCUGAAAGAAAAAGAUCUUUGUUGCUGCAAAGACGAUCCUCCUAGUCCUCCAAAUUAAGAAUAAAUGUCUCAUUUAAUAUGUAUCCUCAACUAGUUAUCUAUGAAUAAAAACCACUAGAUUUUAACCCGCGGUAUACCGCGGGGCUAUAUUUUCUUAAAAAAA
Molecule: long non-coding RNA, 445 nt
Organism: Arabidopsis lyrata subsp. lyrata
Lineage: Eukaryota; Viridiplantae; Streptophyta; Magnoliopsida; Brassicales; Brassicaceae
Exons: 3
Source: RefSeq, a predicted model, not a curated record